UGGCGGCUGGAAAGCGGGUCGGAUAGUUAGGUUUCCCUAGCUCUCUCCUUUUUCUUCUUCUGUCGUCGUCGUACUAUCAUCCCUAUUUCAGUUUGCUUAGCUCUAAAGACUCCUCCUAUAGUGGUAUCAUCGGAAUCGCCAGAAGAAGAGAAAAGAGAAGCUGUGGCAAGACAAAGGUAGUGUCGCCAGGCCGCCAUACCCAGUGGCGGUGGCCUGGUGCGGUUGUGUCGCGUCUGUUUUCGGUCGGUAUUUGGUGGUGUUUCGAGUAAGUACUAUGUGUUUGUGUCGAGUGCUGGGUGAGUGGAUCUGAAAGUGGGUUCUAGAUUGGAGCUGUUUUCGCGUCUUAUUAAGAUUAUAUUACAACAGAAAUCUUGCUUUGCUUUGGUUUCGUAUCUGAGGCCUCCGUUUUUGGGUGCUCCACUCCACUAGAUGGAUGAUAGAUACUCCCUCUGUUCCUAAAUACUUGUCUUUCUAGACAUUUCAACAAGUGACUACAUACGAAGCAAAAUGAGUGAAUCUACACUCUCUAAAAUGUGUCUACAUACAUCCGUAUGUAGUAGUCAUUUGAAAUGUCUAGAAAGACAAGUAUUUAGGAACGGAGGGAGUAGAUGAUAGAUGGUGCGAAGCUGACCGGGCAAGGGCAAAGCUGGCAAAAGGUGUGGCUUCUUUUGGGGGCCGUUGCAUCUGUGCUUUGCUUGUGGUUCCGUUUGGGGAAGGAAAAGCAGUGGGGUGCUUGGUUGAGUGCUGUGUUGCCUCACUGCUAUCCCACUUGACAUGCUUGCUUCAGAAUUUCGAUGCCUGUUUUUGGUUGCUUGGUGAGUGGUAUGUGAAUAAAUGUCUCUGUCAGUGGGUCACUGGUUUGCAUCCAAAAGAGGUGUCAAGGUCGGCUUAAAAAGAAUGAGCCUGGAUCGAUCACCAGCUGCUGUGUGUCAUGGUGGUGUCACUACUUGUCACAGCACCACCCCAUGGUUCAUUUUUUAUUUUCCCAGGGAAAUUGGGACCUAACAAAAAAUGUAGCUCACUGAACACAUACUACUAGCAGCUACCUAACAAUUGUUUCUUACUGUAUUUGUUAAGCUGCCGGAUUAAGACUCCCCGUAGGUAGCUUUGAGCGGCGGGAGAAAGAAGAUAAUUAUCUCUUGAUAGCUGUCCAACUCGACCGGAGAAAUCAGGAAAGAGCAGUAGACUGAUCAGAUAUCUGAAGAAGCCCGGCCGUGCACCGCGUCGAGGUGGCCCUGCGGCUCAAGGGCGUUCCCUACGAGUUCAUCCAGGAGGACCUCAACAACAAGAGUGAGCUGCUGCUGGAGCACAACCCCGUGCACCGCAAGGUGCCGGUGCUCCUCCACGGCGGCCGCCGGCCGGCCCUCUGCGAGUCGCUGGUCAUCGUCGAGUACGUCGACGAGGCCUUCCCCCGUGGCCCCGCUCUCCUGCCGGCCGACCCGCUUCAUCGACGACGAGUGCGGGGCGUGCACGUGGGUGGCGCUGUGGGGGGAGGGCGAGGGAGGCGGUUCUUCGGCGGCGACCACGUCGGCUUCCUCGACGUCGCCGCCAGCGGGCUCGCGUGCUGGCUGGGGGUGUUCGAGGAGAUGGCCGGGGUGGCGCUGCUCGCCGAGGACGAGCACCCGGCGCUGUGCCGGUGGGCGAGGGAGUACGUCGCGGACGAGGCCGUCAGGGGGUGCCUGCGUGACAGGGAGGCGCUGCUCGCCGCGCUGGCCGCCAGGGAGGACAAGUACGUGUCCACCGCCAGGGCAAUGGCUCACAAGUAGACACGAUCAUGCUGCUCUGCUCUGGACCUCUGGUGAUCCGUUCAUGAAUUUGAUACUUGGAACCUAUUUGGAGGCCGGCCGGAUCGUUGGCAGGCAAAUGAAUGGAUUUGUUAAGGUGUUUUUCUUUAGAAAUUUCGCACACAUUAAACAUAUGUCAAAUUACAGCACGGAAUCCAUGAGAGAAACAGAGAGAGGACGUGUGUCCAGGAACAUUUGCAUUAAAAACUCGAUUGAAGCAGAUUUCUGCAAACCCCGUCCUCAUCGCUUGUUGUCUUCAAAGACGAAGAAACACCAUGACACAUGAGUUCAAACAUCGACAACCGGGGAAUGAAGUUUUAUUCCAAAGGUCGGCACCACCGCACCACCGUCAUCCAAACGCCGCCAUAGAACACACUAAACCUAACCCUAACUACAACCGAGGCAGAGAGCAACCCACGGCCUUGCUGGCAGUGCGCGGGAGGAGUUGGCCGCCUCCCCGAUUGAUUUUUUCCUGGAUGAGAGGGAUUCAUGGUUGAAUCAACGAUGUGAAUAUACUGUGCGGCAAUUUUGAACUCAUGACGGCAUUGCUUGUUGCCAACUAGUAAAUGUAAGCAAGGAAAAAAAAUAAAAAAGAAAUUGUCAGAAGUGGGGUUUGAACCCACGCCCUCGUUAGAGGACCAGAACUUGAGUCUGGCGCCUUAGACCACUCGGCCAUCCUGACUUGUACGACAACUACAGUUUUAGAACAUAUCUAUAGAUUAUUACUACUCCGCACCUGCAUCUGUAUAACAGUGUGUAUUUUUUUUGCCUUCUCCGUAUAACAUUGUGUAAAUUGAAGUACUAGUGCAUGACAACUUAUUCAGCAGACACUCCAUCUGAGAACCGUUCCUUCCUACAAGUAAAUUCCUAUCCAUGCCAACAUUUAUCAGUUCAGCAUCGGCUUCAGGGUUCCUGAAUAAAAACUGAAACACACUACAUACAUGUUUUUGAAUUGCAAAAAACGAAGAUCAUGUAGUUCUUUUCUGAUGCUCAUUCCGGUAUCGAGCUGUUCCUAUCUACUCCCUUCAUUUAGAAUUACUUGUCGCAGAAAUGGAUGUAUCUAGACGUAUUUUAGUUCUACAACAACAACAACAACAAAGCCUUUAGUCCCAAACAAGUUGGGGUAGGCUAGAGGUGAAAUCCAUAAGAUCUCACAACCAACUCAUGGCUCUAGCACAUGGAUAGCAAGCUUCCACGCACCCCUGUCCAUAGCCAGCUCUUUGUCGAUACUCCAAUCCUUCAGGUCUCUCUUAACGGACUCCUCCCAUGUCAAAAUCGAUCGACCCCGCCCUCUCUUGACAUUCUCCGCACGCGUUAGCCGUCCGCUAUGCACUGGAGCUUCUGGAGGCCUGCGCUGAAUAUGCCCAAACCAUCUCAAACGAUGUUGGACAAGCUUCUCCUCAAUUGGUGCUACCCCAACUCUAUCUCGUAUAUCAUCAUUCCGGACUCGAUCCUUCCUCGUGUGGCCACACAUCCAUCUCAACAUACGCAUCUCCGCCACACCUAACUGUUGAACAUGUCGCCUUUUAGUCGGCCAACACUCCGCGCCAUACAACAUUGCGGGUCGAACCGCCGUCCUGUAGAACUUGCCUUUUAGCUUUUGUGGCACUCUCUUGUCACAGAGAAUGCCAGAAGCUUGACGCCACUUCAUCCAUCCGGCUUUGAUUCGAUGGUUCACAUCUUCAUCAAUACCCCCAUCCUCCUGCAACAUUGACCCCAAAUACCGAAAGGUGUCCUUCCGAGGUACCACCUGGCCAUCAAGGCUAACCUCCUCCUCCUCACAGCUAGUAGUACUGAAACCGCACAUCAUGUACUCGGUUUUAGUUCUACUAAGCCUAAACCCUUUCGAUUCCAAGGUUUGUCUCCAUAACUCUAACUUCCUAUUUACCCCCGUCCGACUAUCAUCAACUAGCACCACAUCAUCCGCAAAGAGCAUACACCAUGGGAUAUCUUCUUGUAUACCCCUUGUGACCUCAUCCAUCACCAAUGCAAAAAGAUAAGGGCUCAAAGCUGACCCCUGAUGCAGUCCUAUCUUAAUCGGGAAGUCAUCGGUGUCGACAUCACUUGUUCGAACACUUGUCACAACAUUAUUGUACAUGUCCUUGAUGAGGGUAAUGUACUUUGCUGGGACUUUGUGUUUCUCCAAGGCCCACCACAUGACAUUCCGCGGUAUCUUAUCAUAGGCCUUCUCCAAGUCAAUGAACACCAUAUGCAAGUCCUUCUUAUGCUCCCUAUAUCUCUCCAUAAGUUGUCGUACCAAGAAAAUGGCUUCCAUGGUCGACCUCCCAGGCAUGAAACCAAACUGAUUUUUGGUCACGCUUGUCAUUCUUCUUAAGCGGUGCUCAAUGACUCUCUCCCAUAGCUUCAUUGUAUGGCUCAUCAGCUUAAUUCCACGGUAAUUAGUACAACUCUGAACAUCCCCCUUGUUCUUGAAGAUUGGUACUAAUAUACUCCGUUUCCAUUCUUCUGGCAUCUUGUUUGCCCGAAAAAUGAGGUUGAAAAGCUUGGUUAGCCAUACUAUCGCUAUGUCCCCGAGACCUUUCCACACCUCAAUGGGGAUACAAUCAGGGCCCAUCGCCUUGCCCCCUUUCAUCCUUUUUAAAGCCUCCUUCACCUCAGACUCCUGGAUGCGCCGCACAAAACGCAUGCUGGUCUCAUCAAAGGAGUCAUUCAGUUCAAUGGUAGAACUCUCAUUCUCCCCAUUGAACAGCUUGUCGAAGUACUCCCGCCAUCUAUGCUUAAUCUCUUCGUCCUUCACCAAGAGUUGGCCUGCUCCGUCCUUGAUGCAUUUGACUUGGCCAAUAUCCCUCGUCUUCCUCUCCCGGAUCUUAGCCAUCUUAUAGAUGUCCCUUUCACCUUCCUUCGUGCCUAACCGUUGGUAGAGGUCCUCAUAUGCCCGACCCCUUGCUUCACCAAUAGCUCGCUUUGCGGCCUUCUUCGCCAUCUUGUACUUCUCUAUGUUGUCUGCACUCCUAUCCAGGUAUAGGCGUCUGAAGCAAUCUUUCUUCUUUUUAAGCGCCUUCUGGACAUCAUCAUUCCACCACCAGGUAUCCUUAUCUUCGCUUCUCCUUCCCCUGGACACUCCAAACUCCUCUGAGGCCACCUUACGAAUGCAAGUCGCCAUCUUCAUCCAUACAUUGUCCGCAUCCCCUCCUUCCUCCCAAGGGCCCUCCUUAAAUACCCACUCCUUGAACACCUGAGCUACCUCCCCCUUGAGCUUCCACCACUUCGUUCUAGCGAUCUUGGCACGCUUAUCCCGCUGGACACGAAUCCGAAAGCGGAAGUCAGCAACCACCAGCUUAUGCUGGGGUACAACACUCUCCCCAGGUAUCACCUUACAGUCUAGGCACGCACGCCUAUCUUCUCUUCUCGAGAGGAUGUAUUUUAGUUCUAAAUACAUCUAUUUCCAAGACAAAUAAUUUGGAACGGAGGGAAUACCUAGCAAAGAGAGCACAAGGACGAGGAGAAACCACCUAUCCUCAAGCCGCUGGAUAUGAGGCUGCGGUGACACCCAAUCGGCCUCGAGUCUCAAGGGGAAGGAAGCUAGGCUAGCACCUUCCCCUUCUCCGCUAGCUAUCACUCACUCCAGCGCUCCGCUCCGAUGGCCGCCGCCUCCUUCCUCCCCCUCCACCUCCCGGCCUCCCCGAGGCCGGCCACCGUGGCCGCGAGGGCAGCCUCGGGCGUGGCGUCGACGGUGCCCGCCGCCACGCAGACGUCGCAGCUGGAGGAGACGUUCGGCCGGAAGGGCCUCCGGUUCGGGACGGACGCCACGGGCGCGCCCACGGCGGAGCUGAGCGUGCGCAACGGCAGCUCGCUGCAGCUGCGGCUCAACGACGGGCUGGUCACGUCGUACCGGCCCAAGGUGUCCUGGGAGGGCGGGGACGGCUGCCGGGAGCUGCUCCACACCGUGGCCGCCGCCGGCGCGGUCAAGGGCGGCGUCGGGCUGGUGCUCAACGAGGCCUCCUCGUCGUCAUCGCUGCUCGGCGCGUCGGAGUGGUCGGUGGCGGACGUGGACUCGGACUCGUACGACGCGGUGCAGGUGGAGCUCGGGUGCGGCGUCGGCGGGGCCAAGCUGGAGGUGUCGUACGUGGUGACGCUGUACCCGCUGAGCAUGGCGACGGCGGUGAUCGUCAAGAACAACGGGGCCAAGCCGGUGGAGCUGACGGGCGCCGUGCUGAGCCACAUCAAGUUCGACAAGCGGCGGGGCACGGCCGUGGAGGGCCUCCGGGGGUGCCCCUACUGCUCCCACCCGCCGCCGGCGGCCGGGUUCGCGCUGCUCACCCCCGCCGAGGCCAUGAAGCGGGAGGAGUCCGGGUGGUUCGGCGGCGGCGGCGGGGAGGAGCCCCGGCAGGGCGCCUGGACCGUGGAGGAGAACCUCUACACCAUCCUCAAGAAGAAGGCGAGCAGGGUGUACGCGGCGCCGCCGGAGGAGAGGAAGAAGCGCAUCUACAGCACCGCGCCCUCCAAGUUCACCACCAUCGACCAGGUUCGUUCGUUUCUUGGGAUGCAUGCAAUGUACUGUAUGAUAAUCAUUCAUCGAUCGCUUUGCUCACUGAUAAUAUUUGGACUGUGGUGCAGUCUAGCGGGCUGGGGUUCAGGCUGGUGAGGAUGGGGUUCGAGGACCUGUACCUGAGCAGCCCGGGAGGACUGUACGAGAAGUUCGGCAACGACUACUUCCUCUGCACCGGGCCGGCGUCCAUCCUCGUGCCCGUCGUCGUCGGCCCCGGCGAGGAGUGGAGGGGGGCACAGGUCAUCGAGCACGACAACUUGUAACUGCUUUUUUCUUGCGUGCCAACAGAGUUACACAAGAAAUCAUGUACAUUCUCACAUGGGGAUGAAUCUUGUAACUACCCAUUGCGAUCAAUAUGUACACAUGCAGUAGAUUACUUGCCCAUCUCGUAACUAACAUACAAAUGAAUUUUCAAAAAAAUUACAUGGUCACGUGUGAAGAAGACUUGAAAACCUCAAAGGAAGUUAUGCUUUGGAAAAUAACAAGCAUAAAGUUGGACACUCCCUCAUAGAAUUCACUGUAUCAGCUCAACAUAAUCCACAUAACUCCAGACACAAUCAUCUGGUACAAAAGAACCAAGCGCUGGUGGCAACAUAAUCGCGGUAAGCACCACCUAUUUCUGAGAAUGUUUACUCAAGUAAACCCGCAUCCUUGAGAGCAGUCUCAAAAUUGUCCUCGCUUUUCCAGUUGGGGACCUCAGGCACUUUGUGCUGGAAGUAGUCCUCGAUCUUUGUCAUCACAACUUCAUCAGUUUGACCACAUAGCAGGUUGAACACAGCUCCUGUCACCACCAAAAAUUCAGUUAGGCCACAAGAUAAGCACUCUACUCAACACAGAUUAGCUGAUAAACUGGCAUAACAAAAUGUAUGUUUCAAAAUGAUAAAUCAUGAACACAAUCAAAGGAAAUCAAUUGACUGUCUCAAGAAAUAGGAGAUCACAACUUCUUAAGAAAAAAUUAAAUGGAACAAACAACAUGAGGCCGAUAAUCAACAAACAAUGGUCACAUCAGUUCUAUCUUAUCCUAAUAAAGGAUGCUAAAAAUCCUAUUGCAAAAUCCUACUCACAGAAGACUGGUUCUGCCGACAAAUUCAAUCUUAGGCUAGGACAAACAGGCAUUAGGAUUGACUAAAUGUAGCGUGUUUGCUUAUCACUGAUAACAGGUUCAAUCUGCCAUUAACCCCAAGCCAUUUAAUUCCUAUCAACACCAUUAAUGUCUGUCACAGCGUUGACAAAAUAUGCUUACAAUGGUGUAUGUACAUAGACUGCUAGACAAAUUUACCUUUUCGGCCAAAGCGUCCAGCUCUGCCAAUUCUGUGCAGGUACACCUCAUAAUCAGGUUCAUCUCUCGUAUUAUACUUGAUUGGCAUAUCGUAGUUGAUGACCAGGUUAACCUUUCAAAGUUAGAAUGUUAGUAGGAAAAUUUAUACUGGUGUGUCAAAAACUCAAAAUAGCACAGCGCGCAUAGUACCUGUGCUUGGUCAAACCCACGAGCAAGAACAUCAGUUGAUAUAAGAACCUUGGUGUAUCCAUCUUUGAAUUCCUGAAUUACUUUUUCCCUCUCUGCUUGGUCAAGGGAUCCUUGAAUUGAGGAGCACACAUAGUCCUCUUUUGUCAAAGCAUUAUGUACAUUCUUAGUACUAUUUCUUGUCCUCACAAAGAUGAUAACCUGUCCAACCUUUUGCCCAAACUCAAAGAUCUUGUCCCUUAUAACCUCUAUUUUGGCCGCCUCAUCAGGGACUCGGACUUUAUAUUGCUUUACUUUUUCCAAAGUAAGAUCUUCCUUCUUCACAAAUAUUUGGUUUCCGUCCUUAAUGACCCUUGUAACAAAUUCCUUCACUUUCUCGUUGAAGGUCGCAGAGAAGAGAAGCACCUGUUAUAAAUAGAAUUAAAAUAAGUAAAAGAGGACCUCCGCAAAUAAAGAGAGUAAAAGAGGCACCAUAUAGAAACAGAAACAAUCACAUCUAACCAAGAAUUUAGAAAUUAUAUAGCCAAGGCUAGUUGAAUGGCACAGCCAUGGAAUUACACCGACAGUUACAAGCAUUACAAAAGAUUAUCCACCACAUGGACAAGGCUAGUUGAGGACUGAAAGUAUAUCAACACCAUCAAUGGAUGAACUUGAAAAAACUAGGGCAAUAACAGCAGCUGAUUGGCUAUAAGAUUAUGAUAAUAGGAGUGCCCAAAUGUGCAAUUAACUAAUUACAUAGAACAUACAAUAGUAUAUGAUUCUUUCUAUUCCUAAAAUUAUCAACUUCGGAGAUGCCCCACGCAUGAACAUGCAGCCUUCCAAAAAAUAAAGAAAAUGAAUAUCACAAUAAAAAAACAUACAAAUUGAACACAACCCACUGCAUAAAGAAAAUGACUCUUUUCCAAAGCCUCUACCUAUCAUUAGCAAUUGAUGACAAGUUCAACAAGCAGCACAUGAGCACAUACAAAGCAUAGGAACAGGUUGUCUCCCUUAAUAGCCUACCAAGUCCCAACAUUCAAAAUACUCACAUCUGAUUUUGAAAUGUAACCAAGGUGCAAGCUGUUGUGUGUGAUUCUACUGCCACAGUCAAAAGUAGUCAGUUCACUAAAAAAGGGUUACCUGACAGCCACCAGCACUAUUUUGUAUAUCCUUCAUGAUCCUUAAAGAAUCAGUUUUAAAGCCCUCCUGCAAGAAGCAUUCAACAGGGUAAGAAACUGGACUCAUUCAAUCACAAAAGCAACUAGUUUACAUGAGAGCCCGCAACGUCGGAAUUUUGAGCGCCUCAAAUUUGGUUCCAGUUAUAUGAAUAUUUCUACUGUGGGUACUCCAUAAUGAUUUAUGUCCUUGGAAAACAGAUGCCUUUUUCUGUUAUUUUUAUCCACUCAGACCAAACAGAAACCAAGAGUUUUUGGUCAUCACACCUAACAUAACACGACCGCACCAUGAUGACACCCCUUAAUGCCCACUAGGAUAUCAGGAGUACAAACUAUACAGGCCGCAUUCUUUCAUAGUCUAAUUCACUGACUCAUACUAGACUAAAGGUUAUUUCAAUUUCAAUUUCAACUAAGCCACAAGAAAGUUACCUACCACAGAGGAAGCAAGUUAGUGGCAAGUCUAGCAAGUAAGUGCCACUGCUUUGCUUCUUUGCUCUUGCGGAUAGUUAUCGGUGUACAUCUCAUGGCUAUGAAGGGGAAGGUCUAAGGGACUUAACCUCAAAACACCCUCAUUGUUUGCUGCUAAGAAACAUCUGCUCUAUUUCUUACAAGGACAUGAAGGCUCGAAUGAAUAUUGCCGUCAAUGCCAUUAUUGUUUGUAGCUGAGAAAUAACACCUGUAAUGAGUAUGGACCUAACAUCCUUCUCCCUUCACUAUUAGCAUGUGUCUUACACUAAACUACAGUAAGUCGCCCGGAAAACACUGGGUGUAAUGAGUAUGGACCUUAUUAUCCUUCUCGCUUCACUGUUAGCAUGUGUCUUACACUAAACGAACAGUAAGUCACCCUUAAAACACUGGGCGCAUCAAGGACACAAAUAGAUCGAUGACAAGAGAACUAAGCUGUACCUCAGCAAGCAUAUGAUCUGCCUCGUCGAACACAAGAAUCUUGAUCUCCCUAGUCGCAAGCUUCUUAUGGGUGAUCCACUUGGUGAGCGUCCCAGAAGUGCCAAUCACCACCUGAUCGGUCACCGGAGCCAUUUUGCUGAUGGGCAUAUACUCUUUCUGAGACGACGGGAUUGCACAGGCACAGGUGAUGCCGGUAAACUUGCCCAUCCUCAUGAGCACAGAUUUAUUCUGCACAGACCAACCAAUCAAAAUCAGUACAGUACAUUACAGGGUAUAAAACUAACAGAAUCAAGCUUCAUACUGCAGUUUGUUAUUAUAUCUAAUAACCAGAUGAGAGCACAUUUGCAGAGCGUGGUAGUGGAGAGGAUCAAGCCAAGAGACGUACCUGCUGCGCGAGCUCCCUGGUGGGGCAGAUGCAGAUGGCCUGGGGGACCUUGCGGUUGGGGUCGACGCGGCUGAGCAUGCCGAGGACGAAGCAGGUGGUCUUGCCGGAGCCGUUGUGCGCCUGCGCGACGAGGUCCCUGUGGGGCGGCGUGAGGAUCAUGGGGAGCGUGAUGGCCUGGAUCUUGCUGGGGCGGCUGAACCCCAUCUCGUCGUGCAGCCCCUUGAGCAGCUCGGGGGUGAGCUUCACGUCCUCGAAGGUCGUGGCCGACUCGUACACCGUGCCGCCCGAGGUCACCUGGAGAAGCAAAGCACCGAAUCAGCAGCCGGCCGACAUCGAGAGGCGGCGGCGGCGGGGAGCAGAGCGGAGCGGAGAGGCGCGUACGGCCUGGAUUUGGGAGUCGUCGGAGUCGUCGAGCAGGGGCGGGCCCUCGGGGCCGCCGCCGUCGUCGUCCGGCACGGAGAGCGAGAGCGCCUCGAUCUGCUUCGCCUGCGCCUCCACCGCCGGCUCGAUGGGGGCGGAGGAGGAGGAGGCGGAGGAGGCGGCGGCGGCGAGCUCGGCCUCCGCCUCCGCUUUGGCCUUGGCCUCCUCCUCCUCCUCGACGUCGGCCCAGGACUUCUUCUCCGGCUCGGGCUUGGCGGCGCCGGCGUCGGCCAUCGGAGCAGAUCGGGAAGGAUCGAUGGCGAUGAGAGCUGCUUCAGCUAGAGUCGGUUCGCGUUUUUCCGGGUUUGCUCCCGAUUUGGGAGGGGAUCGAUUAUAUUGUGCUGCGUGAGGUGUUUUUUUAGCUUGGCAUGUAAGCGGAGCGCUGCUUAAGAUUUACGCGCACGCGGUCUCAGGCGGUUAAUUUUUUUUUAUUGGUUCUCAGGCGGUUAAUGCCGAGCGCCCCCUGAGCGUCAAAUAAUAAGGCCUCUUUUGGUUCAUAGGAUAGGAUUAUCAUAGGAAUAGAAAAUUUAUAGAAAAUGAGAUGACAUGUAACUCAAAUCCUAUGAGUAGGAAUAGGAAACGAGAUGUCAUUUAGUUCACAUCAAAGGAAUUUUUUCAUUGAGUCUAGGCUCAUUUUUAUUUUCCUAUAAAAUGUGAAGGAUAGGAACCAAUCCUAUGUAGAAAUAGGAAUCCAUUCCUAUGAACCAAAUGGCUCUAAAGGAAAAAAUCCUAUAAGAAUCAUAUCCUUUAGAAUUCCUAUGAAAUUCCUACAAACCAAAGAAGGCCUAAAUGGGGCAAAGGUCCACGCCUACCGGGCGCCCACAACCCAAUAACAUAUUUUUUCUUUCUUUCAGAAAUUGUAUUUUAAAAGUUUUUGUUUAUUUUUUAUGUUAAGACAAGUUUAAGAAAUGGAACAAAACCACAAGUAAACGGAAAUGUUAAAAGUCCGACAUCAGAUUUUUAGUGCUGAAAAUGUCUGUCAUGCAAAAACAGAUAGAAUUGUCAUGCUUAUGUAUCAUAAUUUGCCAUGUUCUACAGUGAACAUUGCCGUGCAAUGUAAAACAGAAAAAAUGUCAUGCAACAACAAUUAAUUGAUGUGCGUUCAAUCGGGGCCUCACGUACCAGAGGGUGCCAGAUUUUAACCCUAAGAAUUUGAUGUCAGAUUUAUAUUGAAAUCCCAGAUAAAAUCGGCUGCGCAUGCGAUAUGCAUUUUGUCGGCAAUUUGAUACAACAAUGCUAAUCCCUGUUUCACGGACGAGAGUGCCUUAGCCCGCAACUCUCAAGUUGGAUUUUCGAUCGAACAUGAACACACGUUCCCAUAGGUUGGUCUUUUAGAUGUUGUAACAUAAAAAUAACCAAAUCCUGAGUCGGCCAAGGUACAAUUGUUUCGCAAUCCGUAGGAGUGGCCUAUAAACUAUUACGGGUUAGUUUUUGCCUGUCUCUAAAGAAUAGGUUUUUGUAGCCACUGAUAGCCAUAUAUCUCAACGUGAGGUUUCCCAUGGUUUCUCUAAUACGGUUUUGAUUCCUGCUCUAUCAUGUGUGCACACGCUGACUAAGGGGAUGGCUUGCGCGUAUAACUAGCAGUGUGUGAUCUAAGUUUUAUUGCAUUCCGUUCUCCGGUGCUGGUGGCGGCACAAUUCUCUUCCGCGACGAGUCGGGAGGGUCUGGAGAGGCGUGCAUCAAUGAUCUCCUGCAAACAUAUGGGCCCCGAUGAGAAAGGACUUUGAUGAUCUCAUGUGUGAAAAGUUGUAGAUGUGGCAAAGCAAGAAGUCAACUAGUCAAGUGUAUGCUCAUUGCUGGAGUUCAAAUGAGCAAUCCUUUCAUGCUAAGCACGUUAUGGUCAUAUGAAUGCGGCCUAGAGUCCAAUGAAGGAGAUUAGAUUUAGGACUUUAGAGGAUAAUAUGUCCAUGAUUUGGAGCUUCUGCUUAGUGUAUUGGAAGAAGGUGAUAAAGGGAGGUUCAUCGCUCUUUCAAAAUGAUGGCAUGAUAAUCGAACCAUAUGAUGGUCUGUCGGCCCCGAAGUUGAUUGGUCGGAAUCAUAUCACUAUUUUGGAUCCAAAUUGCAAGAUCUCCAUGUGCAAAAUUGAAAGAACAUGCGGUGUCCCCAUGUUUGGUUUUGGUAAUUGAUGACAAUCUCUAUGGACUAAUGGUUUCCUUGAGUUAGAUUUGAAGGUUUUGUCCAUAGGUUUUUCUUGGAGUGCAUGUGUUAAUUUCAAGGAGAGUUUGUGUCGACCAAGGUGUUAUUCAAGGAAUUAUCCAAAGAUUGGUCAUGUGAGAGUUGAGUUUAUUGCAAGCAUGUCUUGAAGAAGAAGAUUGUGUGAUUAUUCAUGUCUACCUUCAAGACAUCAUUCAAAUGAAGAGAAUUGAAAAGGUUCAAGGUUGAUCAAGACUAAGUCAAGAGUGAAUCAAAUUGAUCAACUCACAAAGCGCAGAAGAUGUACCGAGAGGGAUCAAGUGAUCCCAUGGUAUGGUAAGAAUUAUCAAUUACGCUUUGUGUACUAACCCAUGGUCUUCGUGAGAGUUCUUUGUGGGGUUAGGUUGCGGUGUGCAAGUUCAAGUGGAGCAUCACGAAGAAAUCAAAUGCUUGAAGCUUGCCGUCCUUUGUGGUGAUAAUGGACUUGUGAAGAUGUGCGGAAGAGUGGCUCACCCAUAGUGGAGUAUGGAGGAGCAAUCAACUAGUCUUCAUCGGGUCAACACAAUCAAGAAAGGUGGUCCAACUUGAGGGAGUCAAGAUUGUCAUCAUCUAGCUCAAGUGGACCAUGUGCAAGGCAAAGGUUUGCCCUUGAUAGGUUUUCUAUUUUACCGGUCUCAUGAUGGUAGUUGGGAGACCGGGUUAUAGGAUCGAUUGCCGUACUAUCAAGGGGGGCUCUCGAUGAGUAGCUUGAUCGUAUCGUUCGUAGAGAGCUCAAACCAUUGCAUACUUACAUCAUCUUUCUUGGUUCUUGUUUGGUUCUCUUUGUGAGUCUUAGAGCUUAUGGUCAUCUUGAUGACAAGCUUGAGUUCACCGAAAACGGAGUUCGCAUGCAUCUUCUAUGAUGUUUUCGUUGUUGGAGGUUUUGCCGUUCUUCUCGGUUGGAGGUUUCACUCCUCUAUUUGUUGGCAUACCUCCCCUGCCUCUUCUUACUAUAUCCAGUCGCAGUUUUGAUGCUACUCGUCGUCUUGUUUCCAACUGUUGGGGAACAUAGUAAUUUCAAAGAAAUUCCUACGCACACGCAAGAUCAUGGUGAUGCAUAGCAACGAGAGGGGAGAGUAUGAUCUACGUACCCUAGUAGAUCGACAACGGAAGCGUUAACUUGGUUGAUGUAGUCGUACGUCUUCACGGCCCGACCGAUCAAGCACCGAAACUACGGAACCUCCGAGUUCUAGCACACGUUCAGCUCGAUGACGAUCCCCGGACUCCGAUCCAGCAAGGUGUCGGGGAAGAGUUCCGUCAGCACAACGGCGUGGUGACGAUCUUGAUGUACUACCGUCGCAGGGCUUCGCCUAAGCACCGCUACAAUAUUAUCGAGGACUAUGGUGGAAGGGGGCACCGCACACGGCUAAGAAUAUGAUCACGUGGNNNNNNNNNNNNNNNNNNNNNNNNNNNNNNNNNNNNNNNNNNNNNNNNNNNNNNNNNNNNNNNNNNNNNNNNNNNNNNNNNNNNNNNNNNNNNNNNNNNNNNNNNNNNNNNNNNNNNNNNNNNNNNNNNNNNNNNNNNNNNNNNNNNNNNNNNNNNNNNNNNNNNNNNNNNNNNNNNNNNNNNNNNNNNNNNNNNNNNNNNNNNNNNNNNNNNNNNNNNNNNNNNNNNNNNNNNNNNNNNNNNNNNNNNNCCUCCCUUUCCUUGUCCAAGUAGGAGAGGGGGAAGGAGAGAAGGAAAAGGGGGGGCGCCGCCCCUCCCUCCUUGUCCAAUUCGGACUUAGGGGGAGAGGGGGCGUGCGGCCUGCCCUGGCAGCCCCUCCUCUUCUCCACUUUAGGCCCAUGAGGCCCAUUAAGCCCCGGGGGGGGGGGGUCCGGUAACCCCCGGUGCUCCGGUUUUAUCCGAAACUUCCCCGGAACACUUCCGGUGUCCGAAUAUAGCCGUCCAAUAUAUCAAUCUUUAUGUCUUGACCAUUUCGAGACUCCUCGUCAUGUCCGUGAUCACAUUCGAGACUCUGAACUAACUUCGGUACAUCAAAACUCAUAAACUCAUAAUAUAACUGUCAUCGAAACCUUAAGCGUGCGGACCCUACGGGUUCGAGAACAAUGUAGACAUGACUGAGACACGUCUCCGGUCAAUAACCAAUAGCGGAACCUGGAUGCUCAUAUUGGCUCCUACAUACUCUACGAAGAUCUUUUAUCGGUCAGACCGCAUAACAACAUACGUUGUUCCCUUUGUCAUCGGUAUGUUACUUGCCCGAGAUUCGAUCGUCGGUAUCCCAUACCUAGUUCAAUCUCGUUACCGGCAAGUCUCUUUACUCGUUCCGUAAUACAUCAUCUCACAACUAACUCAUUAGUUGCAAUGCUUGCAAGGCUUAUGUGAUGUGUAUUACCGAGAGGGCCCAGAGAUACCUCUCCGACAAUUGGAGUGACAAAUCCUAAUCUCGAAAUACGCCAACCCAACAUGUACCUUUGGAGACACCUGUAGAGCACCUUUAUAAUCACCCAUUUACGUUGUGGCGUUUGGUAGCACACAAAGUGUUCCUCCGGCAAACGGGAGUUGCAUAAUCUCAUAGUCAUAGGAACAUGUAUAAGUUAUGAAGAAAGCAAUAGCAACAUACUAAAUGAUCGGGUGCUAAGCUAAUGGAAUGGGUCAUGUCAAUCAGAUCAUUCAUCUAAUGAUGUGAUCCUGUUAAUCAAAUGACAACUCUUUGUCCAUGGUUAGGAAACAUAACCAUCUUUGAUUAACAAGCUAGUCUAGUAGAGGCAUACUAGUGACACUCUGUUUGUCUAUGUAUUCACACAUGUAUUAUGUUUCCGGUUAAUACAAUUCUAGCAUGAAUAAUAAACUUUUAUCAUGAUAUAUAAGAAAAUAAAUAAUAACUUUAUUAUUGCCUCUAGGGCAUAUUUCCUUCAGUCUCCCACUUGCACUAGAGUCAAUAAUCUAGAUUACACAGUAAUGAUUCUAACACCCAUGGAGCCUUGGUGUUGAUCAUGUUUUGCUCGUGGAAGAGGCUUAGUCAACGGGUCUGCUACAUUCAGAUCCGCAUGUAUCUUGCAAAUCUCUAUGUCUCCCACCUGGACUAGAUCCCGGAUGGAAUUGAAGCGUCUCUUGAUGUGCUUGGUUCUCUUGUGAAAUCUGGAUUCCUUUGCCAAGGCAAUUGCACCAGUAUUGUCACAAAAGAUUUUCAUUGGACCCGAUGCACUAGGUAUGACACCUAGAUCGGAUAUGAACUCCUUCAUCCAGACUCCUUCAUUCGCUGCUUCCGAAGCAGCUAUGUAUUCCGCUUCACACGUAGAUCCUGCCACGACGCUCUGUUUAGAACUGCACCAACUGACAGCUCCACCGUUUAAUGUAAACACGUAUCCGGUUUGCGAUUUAGAAUUGUCCGGAUCAGUGUCAAAGCUUGCAUCAACGUAACCGUUUACGAUGAGCUCUUUGUCACCUCCAUAUACGAGAAAUAUAUCCUUAGUCCUUUUCAGGUACUUCAGGAUGUUCUUGACCACUGUCCAGUGAUCCACUCAUGGAUUAUUUUGGUACCUCCCUGCUAGACUUAUAGCAAGGCACACAUCAGGUCUGGUACACAACAUUGCAUACAUGAUAGAGCCUAUGGCUGACGCAUAGGGAACAUCUUUCAUUUUCUCUCUAUCUUCUGCAGUGGUCGGGCAUUGAGUCUGACUCAACUUCACACCUUGUAACACAGGCAAGAAUCCUUUCUUUGCUUGAUCCAUUUUGAACUUCUUCAAAAUCUUGUCAAGGUAUGUGCUUUGUGAAAGUCCAAUUAAGCGUCUUGAUCUAUCUCUAUAGAUCUUUAUGCCUAAUAUGUAAGCAGCUUCACCGAGGUCUUUCAUUGAAAAACUCUUAUUCAAGUAUCCCUUUAUGCUAUCCAGAAAUUCUAUAUCAUUUCCAAUCAGUAAUAUAUCAUCCACAUAUAAUAUCAGAAAUGCUACAGAGCUCCCACUCACUUUCUUGUAAAUACAUGCUUCUCCAAAGGUCUGUAUAAAACCAAAUGCUUUGAUCACACUAUCAAAGCAUUUAUUCCAACUCCAAGAGGUUUGCACCAGUCCAUAAAUGGAUUGCUGGAGCUUGCACACUUUGUUAGCUCCCUUUGGAUCGACAAAACCUUCCGGUUGCAUCAUAUACAACUCUUCUUCCAGAAAUCCAUUCAAGAAUGCAGUUUUGACAUCCAUCUGCCAAAUUUCAUAAUCAUAAAAUGCGGUAAUUGCUAACAUGAUUCGGGCAGACUUAAGCAUCGCUAUGGGUGAGAAGGUCUCAUCGUAGUCAACCCCUUGAACUUGUCGAAAACUUUUUGCGACAAGUCGAGCUUUGUAGACAGUAAUAUUACCGUCAGCAUCAGUCUUCUUCUUGAAGAUCCAUUUAUUGUCAAUUGCUUGCCGAUCAUCGGGCAAGUCAACCAAAGUCCAUACUUUGUUCUCAUACAUGGAUCCCAUCUCAGAUUUCAUGGCUUCAAGCCAUUUUUCGGAAUCUGGGCUCACCAUCGCUUCUUCAUAGUUCGUAGGUUCAUCAUGAUCUAGUAGCAUGACUUCUAGAACAGGAUUACCGUACCACUCUGGCGCGGAUCUUACUCUGGUUGAUCUACGAGGUUCAGUAGUAUCUUUGUAACACCCCGGAUGUAACUUUCCAUAUUUGUAUCCAACUCUUGUCGUCUCCGACGCUAAGUUAUAUUUAUUUCUCGGGUUCGGGUCUUUGUCUCCGUGUGUUGUUUUUAUUUUUUCGUGCAUCUCUUACCAUGUCAUCUCGUGCAUUGCAUUUGCAUACAUGUUCAUCUCAUGCAUUUGAGCAUUUUCUCCGUUGUCCGUUUUGCAUUCCGGCGCUUCGUUCUCCUCCGGUGGCCAUUUCCAGCUUUCUUUCAUGUGUGGGGUUCAAACAUUUCUGGACUGGACUGAAACUUGUCAUGCGGCCUUGGUUUACUACCGGUAGACCGUCUGUCAAGUUUCGUAUCAUUUGGACUUCGUUUGAUACUCCAACGGUUAACCGAGGGACCGAAAAGGCCUCGUGUGUGUUGCAGCCCAACACCCCCCAAAUUUGGCCCAAAACCCACCAAACUCUGCUCCAUGUCCUAGAGCGUUCGAUCACGAUCGCGUGGGCAAAAACCGCACCUCAUUUGGACUCUCCUAGCUCCACUUAUGCCUAUUUAUACCCCCUCCAUUCGGAUCUCCUCUUCCCCCGUCCAAACCCUAAAAAAAAAA
This 17949-nucleotide long non-coding RNA is filed under the name Triticum aestivum (bread wheat). Its description in RNAcentral is "long non-coding RNA (TAES_LNC001087)". The record is from RNAcentral. Lineage: Eukaryota; Viridiplantae; Streptophyta; Magnoliopsida; Poales; Poaceae.